This 183-nucleotide unclassified non-coding RNA is filed under the name uncultured fungus. RNAcentral's name for it is "sequence contains ITS1". Lineage: Eukaryota; Fungi. The record is from RNAcentral.
ACGAGUUUUUUCGGUUCGAUCCGAAAGCUCCCCGCCCUUGUGUAUCUUCGCUGAAAAGCAGCUUCGGCGGGCCGUCAGACCCUAGCGAUAGGGUCUUGACAAUCGGCUCUGUGCGGAUUUGUGUUCGCCGAAGAACCAACACUUUUUACAAUUUGAAGUCUGAUAACCAAAGAAAAUAAAUCA